This 216-nucleotide ribosomal RNA is filed under the name Glomeromycotina sp. RNAcentral's name for it is "partial small subunit ribosomal RNA". The stretch from base 40 to 216 matches the Rfam family "Eukaryotic small subunit ribosomal RNA", at positions 686 to 864 of the family's 1831-position model. Lineage: Eukaryota; Fungi; Glomeromycota. The record is from RNAcentral.
GGGUCAGUAGGUUGGUCGUGCCACCGGUACGUACUGGUCUCACUGAUUCCUCCUUCCUGUAGAACCGUAAUGCCAUUAAUUUGGUGUUGCGGGGAAACAGGACUGUUACUUUGAAAAAAUUAGAGUGUUUAAAGCAAGCUAACGCUUGAAUACAUUAGCAUGGAAUAAUGAAAUAGGACGAUCGAUCCUAUUUUGUUGGUUUCCAGGAUUGACGUA